UGCCAGGUGGACGAAUAGCAAGUCGCUGUAGCUCUGAACUAUAGAGUCGUGGGUGCAACCCCUACCCUGGCAGCCA
Molecule: transfer RNA, 76 nt
Filed under: Limnofasciculus baicalensis BBK-W-15
Lineage: Bacteria; Bacillati; Cyanobacteriota; Cyanophyceae; Coleofasciculales; Coleofasciculaceae
Description: tRNA-Gln
Source: RNAcentral